GACGAACGCUGGCGGCGUGCUUAACACAUGCAAGUCGAACGGAAAGGCCCUGCUUUUGUGGGGUGCUCGAGUGGCGAACGGGUGAGUAACACGUGAGUAACCUGCCCUUGACUUUGGGAUAACUUCAGGAAACUGGGGCUAAUACCGGAUAGGAGCUCCUGCUGCAUGGUGGGGGUUGGAAAGUUUCGGCGGUUGGGGAUGGACUCGCGGCUUAUCAGCUUGUUGGUGGGGUAGUGGCUUACCAAGGCUUUGACGGGUAGCCGGCCUGAGAGGGUGACCGGCCACAUUGGGACUGAGAUACGGACCAGACUCCUACGGGAGGCAGCAGUGGGGAAUAUUGCACAAUGGGCGGAAGCCUGAUGCAGCAACGCUGCGUGCGGGAUGACGGCCUUCGGGUUGUAAACCGCUUUCGCCUGUGACGAAGCGUGAGUUACGGUAAUGGGUAAAGAAGCACCGGCUAACUACGUG
RNAcentral lists this ribosomal RNA (468 nucleotides) under uncultured bacterium. RNAcentral's name for it is "partial 16S ribosomal RNA". It matches the Rfam family "Bacterial small subunit ribosomal RNA", at positions 28 to 507 of the family's 1533-position model. The record is from RNAcentral.